Molecule: ribosomal RNA, 293 nt
Filed under: uncultured Lactobacillus sp.
Lineage: Bacteria; Bacillati; Bacillota; Bacilli; Lactobacillales; Lactobacillaceae
Description: partial 16S ribosomal RNA
Rfam family: Bacterial small subunit ribosomal RNA
Source: RNAcentral
CGCCGCGUGAGUGAAGAAGGUUUUCGGAUCGUAAAGCUCUGUUGUUGGUGAAGAAGGACAUGGGUAGUAACUGAUCUAUGUUUGACGGUAAUCAACCAGAAAGUCACGGCUAACUACGUGCCAGCAGCCGCGGUAAUACGUAGGUGGCAAGCGUUGUCCGGAUUUAUUGGGCGUAAAGCGAACGCAGGCGGGAGAACAAGUCAGCUGUGAAAGCCCUCGGCUUAACCGAGGAACGGCAACUGAAACUGUUUUUCUUGAGUGCAGAAGAGGAGAGUGGAACUCCAUGUGUAGCG